AUGGCGGCGAGCUUACCAUGCAGUCGAACGAUGAAGCCCAGCUUGCUGGGUGGAUUAGUGGCGAACGGGUGAGUAACACGUGAGUAACCUGCCCUUGACUCUGGGAUAAGCCUGGGAAACUGGGUCUAAUACCGGAUAGGAACGUCCACCGCAUGGUGGGUGUUGGAAAGAUUUAUCGGUCAUGGAUGGACUCGCGGCCUAUCAGCUUGUUGGUGAGGUAAUGGCUCACCAAGGCGACGACGGGUAGCCGGCCUGAGAGGGUGACCGGCCACACUGGGACUGAGACACGGCCCAGACUCCUACGGGAGGCAGCAGUGGGGAAUAUUGCACAAUGGGCGAAAGCCUGAUGCAGCGACGCCGCGUGAGGGAUGACGGCCUUCGGGUUGUAAACCUCUUUCAGUAGGGAAGAAGCGAAAGUGACGGUACCUGCAGAAGAAGCACCGGCUAACUACGUGCCAGCAGCCGCGGUAAUACGUAGGGUGCGAGCGUUAUCCGGAAUUAUUGGGCGUAAAGAGCUCGUAGGCGGUUUGUCGCGUCUGUCGUGAAAGUCCGGGGCUUAACCCCGGGAUCUGCGGUGGGUACGGGCAGACUAGAGUGCAGUAGGGGAGACUGGAAUUCGUGGUGUAGCGGUGGAAUGCGCAGAUAUCAGGAGGAACACCGAUGGCGAAGGCAGGUCUCUGGGCUGUAACUGACGCUGAGGAGCGAAAGCAUGGGGAGCGAACAGGAUUAGAUACCCUGGUAGUCCAUGCCGUAAACGUUGGGCACUAGGUGUGGGGACCAUUCCACGGUUUCCGCGCCGCAGCUAACGCAUUAAGUGCCCCGCCUGGGGAGUACGGCCGCAAGGCUAAAACUCAAAGGAAUUGACGGGGGCCCGCACAAGCGGCGGAGCAUGCGGAUUAAUUCGAUGCAACGCGAAGAACCUUACCAAGGCUUGACAUGUUCUCGAUCGCCGUAGAGAUACGGUUUCCCCUUUGGGGCGGGAUCACAGGUGGUGCAUGGUUGUCGUCAGCUCGUGUCGUGAGAUGUUGGGUUAAGUCCCGCAACGAGCGCAACCCUCGUUCCAUGUUGCCAGCACGUAAUGGUGGGGACUCAUGGGAGACUGCCGGGGUCAACUCGGAGGAAGGUGGGGACGACGUCAAAUCAUCAUGCCCCUUAUGUCUUGGGCUUCACGCAUGCUACAAUGGCCGGUACAAUGGGUUGCGAUACUGUGAGGUGGAGCUAAUCCCAAAAAGCCGGUCUCAGUUCGGAUUGGGGUCUGCAACUCGACCCCAUGAAGUCGGAGUCGCUAGUAAUCGCAGAUCAGCAACGCUGCGGUGAAUACGUUCCCGGGCCUUGUACACACCGCCCGUCAAGUCACGAAAGUCGGUAACACCCGAAGCCGGUGGCCUAACCCUUGUGGGGGGAGCCGUCGAAUAUGACCAGC
This 1423-nucleotide ribosomal RNA is filed under the name Micrococcus luteus. RNAcentral's name for it is "bacterial SSU rRNA". It matches the Rfam family "Bacterial small subunit ribosomal RNA". Lineage: Bacteria; Bacillati; Actinomycetota; Actinomycetes; Micrococcales; Micrococcaceae. The record is from RNAcentral.